UACAGAGACUGCAAGCGUUGUUCGGAUUCAUUGGGCGUAAAGGGUGCGUAGGCGGCGCCGUAAGUCGGAUGUGAAAUCUCGGGGCUCAACCCUGAAACUGCAUUCGAUACUGCGGUGCUAGAGGACUCUAGAGGAAACUGGAAUUCACGGUGUAGCAGUGAAAUGCGUAGAUAUCGUGAGGAAGACCAGUGGCGAAGGCGGGUUUCUGGAGAGUUCCUGACGCUGAGGCACGAAGGCCAGGGGAGCAAACGGG
This 253-nucleotide ribosomal RNA is filed under the name uncultured bacterium. RNAcentral's name for it is "partial 16S ribosomal RNA". It matches the Rfam family "Bacterial small subunit ribosomal RNA", at positions 524 to 776 of the family's 1533-position model. The record is from RNAcentral.